Molecule: long non-coding RNA, 7885 nt
Filed under: Triticum aestivum (bread wheat)
Lineage: Eukaryota; Viridiplantae; Streptophyta; Magnoliopsida; Poales; Poaceae
Description: long non-coding RNA (TAES_LNC025389)
Source: RNAcentral
UGUGUAGCCGUGAUGGUAUCUUUUCGACGGAGUCCGGGAAGUGAACACGGUGUUGGAGUUAUGUUUGACGUAGGUUGUUCUAGGAUCACUUCUUGAUCAUAGUUUCUCGACCGUGCUUUGCCUUCUCUUCUCGCUCUCAUUUGCGUAUGUUAGCCACCAUAUAUGCUAGUCGCUUGCUGCAGCUCCACCUCAUAUCUUUUACCUUACCCAUGAGCUUAAAUAGUAUUGAUCGCGAGGGUGUGAGAUUGCUGAGUCCCAGUGACUCACAAAUACUUCCAAAACCAGCUUGCAGGUGCCGUUGAACCGUGCAGGUGACGCAACCGAGCUCAAGGAGGAGCUCGAUGAAGAUCGUGUUUGUUAUGUUGUUUUCGUUUCCAGUUGAUCAGUAGUGGAGCCCAGUCGGGAUGAUCGAGGAUCUGUGUAGCAUUCGGGGUAGUCUUCUUUUAUUUUGGGUUCCGUAGUCGGACCUUGUUUGUAUCUGGUGAUGUAAUGCUUUAUUCAUGUAAUUGUGUGAAGUGGCGAUUGUAAGCCAACUAUGUAUCUCUUUCCCUUAUGUAUUACAUAGGAUGUGUGAAGAUUACCUCACUUGCGACAUUGCUUUCAAUGCGGUUAUGCCUCUAAGUCGUGCUUUGACACGUGGGAGAUAUAACCGCAUCGAGGGCGUUAAAAGUUGGUAAUCAGAGCCUUCCCCGACCUUAGGAGCCCCCCUGCUUGAUCGAAUCGCUGGCGUUGUUGAGUCUAGAAAAAUGUUUUGAGUCAUUUAGGAUUAUAUAUAUCGGAGAGUAGGAUUCUUUUUACCCCUCAGUCCCUUCGUCGCUCUAGUGAGGUAUCCUGACAUAGAGUUUUGACUCGUCUCUUCUCAAAUUUCACUAAAUUUUUUGAGGAUCAUGCGGGUAUCUUGGAAUCAUUCUGAUGGUUUUGUGACGAGAACAUUAUUCUUGGUGCUUCCUGACAUUUAGGGGUUGUGGCAGUGUCCCGAGGAGUUGAGCUCCGAGGUGUUGUCAUCACAAUUUUAUCAUUGCAAUUCUGGAAUACCUGAGUUUUGCCGACAUCGAAAAUCUCUUUUAUGCAGUUGUUAGUGAGAUAACCUCGACGCCACCCAGUACUGGGGCGGGAGUUCGGGAGUAUUGGCAUAACUCGUAUAACGGAUUCUUUUUGAAGGUUGAGGUAAAUGAUUUCUGAAGGUUUCUUGGUUAUGUGUUGAAGGAUGGAUACAGCUGGAUGUAGGAUUUGCUAGUUUUGGGUGAGAUGUUAUGCUUCCCCUGUAUCCCCAACACCUGAUUGCAUAACCCGAAAGUUUCGGGAGUUUAUAAGUGGGAAUACAAGUAGCUCUUAGGAUAUAUUUCUGACAGAUGUAUGAUAUGAAAUUGGGGUUCGACGUCUAGUGCUCCGCCUAUCCACGAUUGGUUUUACAGUGGUCUCGUUGUGUCUUAAAGAGUCCUUGGCUAUGAUGACUUGGGGACACUUCGUAUGUCAUGUGCACUGCUUUGUACAUGAUGGUGCUGUACGAUCGAGCCCGUGUAGGCCCCGCCACGAAAACUUCGGACGAAAUCUCUAUCAUAUGUUUGUUCUGGCUUAUUCUGCAAGCCAAUCCUUUGUUUUGUUUUCAGUUGUGGUAUUCGAGUUGCUUCGAAGUCAAAUGUUGAUUCCAUACCUUUCCUAAUCAGUGUUCUCAUACUCCGAUGUAAAUACCAAUCCUUCAUGAUAAUCGAGAUUGUCAUGUCAAUCCUUGCCAGCCGGUGCGAUUCUCUUCAAGAUGAUCCUAUCAUUUGUCUCAUCCGUAAGAUAAACUCCAAGUCUUCUCAACAUUGUUUGUUUCUUCGGUCUGAAGUUACCUUUGUUUUUCCCACCCUCCCACCCUUUUUCUUCAAGGAUUCAGAUUUCUUAAUCAAAUAUCCAUUUUAUUCAUGUGAAGUCUCUUCGUUCUUUUCAAUCAAUGUUAUUACCUGGUGGUUCUCUUGAAGAUGCUCUACUAGUUCAUCAUUCUUCAUUAUUUUCCUUCUCCGGUGGAUUCAAGUCAAGCUUUGUUGAUCAUAUCCUUUUUCCUCGUUUCAAUACCUUCUCUUGUCGGUGCACCUCAUAUUCAGUCAUUUCUCGCUAUUCUAUUGUUCUGGAGUGCUCAAGAUAUCCCGAAGAUUCGUGCUUACACUCUGCUUUCGUUCAAGCUCUUUCGAGGAUGUUAUCUCAUUCAAGCCAUUUAAAUUCAACCGAUGGAAUCUCUCUUUUCAAGCAACCGUUCAACGGUGUUUCUUUUGAGUGGCCCCUAACCCACAGGUCUUUUCCCAGGAUCUUACCCGACUCUUCUAAUUCUUUUACCGGAGCUAUUCUAAAAAAUUUCAAAGUUUGACGUAAGAAUGAAUUAUCAUCAGUCAAAUGCCAUUCUCCAAGAUCGGUCAUAUUUUUUUUCAUCGUUGGCUCAACCUUUCCAAUUUUAAUUCCGGAGUGCCUCAACAAUUCAUGGUGGUGUUUCUCAUUGUCAUUCUCGGAUUUUGAAGACCGAAGAAGAGUUUUCCCUUGAAUCUUGUUUCGAUCUAUCAAAGAUUCGUGGUUCUAGCUUCAUGAUAUCCUCUCAUAAUUGUUUUCAAUUGUGACAAUUCUUUUCACCCAUCCAGAACAAUUCAAGAGUCUUUUCAGUUUGAUCAUCCGGAGCCCAUCUUCUCAGAUUUAUUCAUUCCAGCUUUCAGUUAUCAUUCUCCAAUCUUACCGGUGCUUCGUUCAAGUUUUCUCUAAUCAAUUCGGGAUCUCUUCAUUCACCUGCAUCUAAAUUCUCUCAAGAAUAUUCGCUCAUUUUCCAAUUCCUCCUACUGAUGUGUUCGUUUUCUUCGUUCAUUUUCAAUUCUUACGGUGGUUCGUUCAAGAUUUCUCUUCCUUGUUUAUCAUAUCAAUUCAUUCGUUCUUUCCAAUCCUACCGGUGGUUCGUGGAAGACCUUUCUCAAGUUUAUGCUAUAUAUCUCUUCAAUCCUUUUCAACGGGAUUAAGUAGUGUGCCAAAUCCAUUGUUUAUCAUCAAUUUAAUUGAUGAAGGACAAGCAUAACAUAAUUCUUAUUCUUGUUCAUACAAGUGAUUAAUUCCUUAUUCCGGAGGUUCAUUGAAAAAUUCUUGGUUUCUUUUGCUCAUCUUUCUUUUCCGGAGUUCCAAGUUUCCACUUUAUCUUGUCGCAAAGCUCCAUUUAAAUCAUCGCAAGGCUUCACCUUGUGUUUUCAACUUCUAUUUCUUCUUGUUAUCCUUUUGUUACCGGAGUUCUUCAUGAAGGUUCUACAUGAUGGUUCAUCAAGGAUUUAAUUCCUUCUCGAAGUGUUCAUCAACAUUCUUUUCAGAGGAGCUCAAGCAUUCGUCAUCUUGCAAUCCGGAGUGCAAUUCUAUCUUCCGUAUCAUUUGAGGUGAUAAUAUAUCAUUCUUCUUUCAUAAGAAUUUGAUAUUUAAACCCAUCACCUUCUUCCUUGGAGUUAUCUUGGGUUAUAUUUCACCUAAAGCCUUCCCUAAGGAUUGUUGCUAUUAUGGUGCUUAUAAUUGACCCAAGUUCUUUUAUCCUCCCGGUGGUAUAAGUUUCUCGUUUCCUUGUUGAUAUCAAUUCAAUCUAUUGUUUCGUUAGUGGCAGAAUUUCACCUCAAGAAUUUGAGAUGUUCUCCAUAAGGCCACGACAAGCUUACUCUUUUUGCUGUUGGUUUUCCAACAACUCUGUUCGACCCUUUUCCAACCGGAGUGUCGUGUUUUCAUUCAAGUAUCUUCUCAUCUUAUCAAGUUCUUAUUCAAUUCCUUUUCUUUUCAAUCGGAGUGCUGCCCGAAGUUGUUCUUCCUUGUUCCUCUUUUCUAACGGAGUGUUUUCAACUUCGUCAUCUCCGUUGUAUUCUUUUCUCGAAAUGGCUUAACCUUUUCAAGGCUCUUUGGUUUCACUCAUUGGUCAAAGAAGCAACUUAGUUUUACCUCUUCUCUUUCUCUUCCAUUUUUCCCUCCGGUGCCAUUCUAGAUCUCGGGUCGAGAUCCUCUCGUAGUGGUGGAGUGUUGUAACGCCCCGAGACCGUUGUGCCAGGUGUCGUCCAGUUAUUCGCCGACGUUGCCAUGUCAUUUGCUUGCGUGUUGCAUCUUAUCAUGUCAUCAUGUGCAUUGCAUCAUCAUGUUUUCAAAACUUGCAAUCGUCCGGGGUAUCCCAGUUCUCCCCGUUGUCCGUUCUGAGCCCAGACACACUUGCACGCGCCCGUGGCACGUCCGAAAUAUUAUUUUAUAAGUGGCCGGAAAAUGUUCUCGGAAUGGGUUGAAAGUUGGCGUGCGGUCUUAUUAUAGUGUAGAUAGACCGCCUGUCGAGUUUCAUCGCAUUUGGAGUCUGUUUGACGCCCCAACGGAUAACUAUAGCGGCAUUAUAGUCGGUCAAAACGUCGGACGUUUUCGGUCUCUGAAAACCGUGCCGGGCUGCAUCUAUCCCCUCUUCUCUCAGACCAACCCGCUCUCCACAGUCCACCUAGACCCAUCCUACCCCUCUCUUCUCAGUGCAUCAAACCCCUCGCGCGCGUCCGGAAGUUGUCCCGAACCCGACCCGAGGAGUCGUCACCGUUGGGUCCGGAUCAUCCCCAAACAUCUACAAAACAUCACCAUUUUCUUUUUUGGACUUCCUAGUGUAUUUUUCUCGACCACUCGAUUUUAAUUGGAGGGACGGAUUAGCCCCUAAACUCUUCCUCUUUCCUUAUAUAUAGUCCCUAGUCUAAAUCUGGACCAAACCCUAUUUUCUAGGGAUCCUCCCCGUCGAAUCCCCGCCGCCAGCAUCUCCCACCUCGGGAUCCAUCUCCACCCAAUCCAACCACCAUCUCCAUUUCCGUGCCCAUCCAAGCACUACAAAGCCAAAGUCCCCCUGCCUUCCCGAUCCACCCACCGAGCCAACCAGCACCGCCCAGGCCUGUACGGUUGCUGGCCCGCACUCUUUGCUCCCUCGCUCUCGAUUGGAUCGAGGGGAGGAGCCCCUCGACCCCGACCACGCCAUCCGAUCCUUCCCGCCGGAGUCGCUGCCGGCGACCAGCUCGGAUCAGGCGACCCCACGCUCUCCUCGUCCUUCUUCCCUGCCAUCUAUUGUUGCCCCAGGUCAUCAGCGCCGCUAUUCCGCCCUCGAUUCCUCUCUGCUCCCUCUCCCUCAUGAGCUUCCUCUCUCUCUCCCCCGCAAGAAUGUCCCGUCGCCACCCGGGAAGCUCCAGCAACCCCCACAUCACCAGAUCUGGCGGAUCCCGGCCUUCUUCGCCCGUUCCUGGUCCUCCUCCGCGCCUCCCCAUCGGCGAGCCGCCAUCGUCCACCGCCACUGUUGUGUCCUCCUCCCUGCUCGUGCGGAGGCACGAGGACGAUGAGCAGGAGCUGCUCGCUCUGCUCGUAGGCCCCGCCGUGGCCAGAUCCAUCCAAGGCCCAGGAGCCCCUUGCCAGGCCUCUUUUCCACCGAACGGGCCUUGGCCCAUGUGAGCAGCGCCUAACCCCUAUCCUGUGUUUGUUGGGCUAGGUAGUUUCAGCCCAUGGACAUGUUUUUUUCCUGGACGAAUUUAAUCAUUUUUCCAGAGAUUACAGUUUUACAGAAAAGCCCCUAAACUUCAUGCAUUUAAUAUCUCCACAACCGUGCAUCGAAUUAAAACAACUUAUAUAUGUAAAAUGCUUAGAAUUUUGUGUAGUUUCAUAAUAUGCCACUUUUAUCCAUGUUUGAAAUGUUUAAAAUGCUGUUUGCUUAAAUUUACUCCUAUGCCAUGUUAAAAUGCUUUAAUUCAUAACUAAAUAACCGUAACUUCGAAUUUAAUAAACUUUAUAUGUAAAUGGGGUGGAAAAAUGCCUAGUUUAACAUGGUGCACUCAUCUUGCAUGUUUAACAACUAUAAAAUUUGGUUUAGGGCAGAACAGUACCAAAUCCAUAAAUAUGCACAUGAGGAUUUUUCGGACUUGUUGCUCGUUGUUCCAGCCUCAUUUAAACUUGCCUAGUUAGGUAGUUUUGUUGUGCUUCACCCCUUGCCAUGUUAAUCAAAAUUUAAUAUUGUUGGGUACAUAAACGAGAUCGAACUAAAUAACUUGAAUGUGGUGUUUCUUCAACAUGCAAUUCGUUGCAUAUUGAGCUCCACUUAAUUUGUAGUAUUGUUUGUGCACUUUGCCAUGCCAUGCAUAUUUAAACCGGACAUGCAUCAUACUUGGUUAUGCAUCAUGCCAUGUUAUGUGAUGGUUGUUUACUAUGUUAUUUGCUUCUUUCCGAUGUUGCUUCUUCGGGUUAGUUCCGAUAACGUCGCGUUUGUGAGGAUCCGUUCGACUACGUCCGCUUGUCCUCUUCAUGGACUCGUUCUUCUUCCUUGCGGGAUCUCAGGCAAGAUGACCAUACCCUCGAAAUCACUUCUAUCUUUGCUUGCUAGAUGCUCGCUCUUUUGCUAUGCCUAUGCUCUGAUACCUACCACUUUCUUAUCAUGCCUCCCAUAUUGCCAUGUCAAACCUCUAACCCACCUUGUCCUAGCAAACCGUUGUUUGGCUAUGUUACCGCUUUGCUCAGCCCCUCUUAUAGUGUUGCUAGUUGCAGGUGAAGAUUGGAGAUCGUUCCUUGUUUGGAACAUGUUUAUUGUUGGGAUAUCAUAAUAUUAUCUUGUUUAUCUUAAUGCACCUAUAUACUUGGUAAAGGGUGGAAGGCUCGGCCUUAUGCCUGGUGUUUUGUUCCACUCUUGCCGCCCUAGUUUCUGUCAUACCGGUGUUAUGUUCCUUGAUUUUGCGUUCCUUACACGGUUGAGUUAUAAUGGGAACCCCUUGAUAGUUCGCCUUGAAUAAAACUCCUCCAGCAAUGCCCAACAUUGGUUUUACCAUUUUCCACCUAGCCUCUUUUUCCCUUGGGUUCCGUGGACUCAAGGGUCAUCUUUAUUAAACCCCCCGGGCUAGUGCUCCUCUGAGUGUUGGUCCAAACUAGAGCCCUUUGCAGCGCCCCCUCGGGGAAACUCGAGGUUUGGUUUUAGUUGUAUGGAGCGCUCAUCUGAGUGUGCCCUAAGAACGAGAUAUGUGCAGCUCCUAUCGGGAUUUGUCGGCACAUUCGGGCGGUGUUGCUGGACUUGUUUUACCAUUGUCGAGAUGUCUUGUAACCAGGAUUCCGAGCCUGAUCGGGUCUUCCUGAGAGAAGGAAUAUCCUUCGUUGACCGUGAGAGCUUGUGAUGGGCUAAGUUGGGAAACCCCUGCAGGGAUUUGAACUUUCAAAAGCCGUGCCCACAGUUAUGGGCAGAUGGGAAUUUGUUAAUGUCCGGUUGUAGAAAACCUGAAACUUAUCUUAAGUAAAAUGCAUCAACCGUGUGUGUAGCUGUGAUGGUCUCUUUCUGGCGGAGUCCGGUUAGCGAACACGGUGUUGGAGUUAUGUUUGACGUAGGUUGUUCUAGGAUCACUUCUUGAUCAUAGUUUCUCGACCGUGCUUUGCCUUCUCUUCUCGCUCUUAUUUGCGUAUGUUAGCCACCAUAUAUGCUAGUCGCUUGCUGCAGCUCCACCUCAUAUCUUUUACCUUACCCAUGAGCUUAAAUAGUCUUGAUCGCGAGGGUGUGAGAUUGCUGAGUCCCCGUGACUCACAGAUACUUCCAAAACCAGCUUGCAGGUGCCGUUGAACCGUGCAGGUGACGCAACCGAGCUCAAGGAGGAGCUUGAUGAAGAUCGUGUUCAUUAUGUUGUUUCCGUUUCCAGUUGAUCGGUAGUGGAGCCCAGUCGGGACGAUCGGGGAUCUGUGUAGCAUUCGGGGUAGUCUUCUUUUAUUUUGGGUUCCAUAGUCGGACCUUGUUUGUAUCUGGUGAUGUAAUGCUUUAUUCAUGUAAUUGUGUGAAGUGGCGAUUGUAAGCCAACUAUGUAUCUCUUUCCCUUAUGUAUUACAUGGGCUGUGUGAAGAUUACCUCACUUGCGACAUUGCUUUCAAUGCAGUUAUG